CCUACGGGAGACAGCAGUGGGGAAUAUUGCACAAUGGGGGGAACCCUGAUGCAGCGACGCCGCGUGAGUGAAGAAGUGUUUCGGUAUGUAAAGCUCUAUCAGCAGGGAAGAAGAUGACGGUACCUGACCAAGAAGCCCCGGCUAACUACGUGCCAGCAGCCGCGGUAAUACGUAGGGGGCAAGCGUUAUCCGGAUUUACUGGGUGUAAAGGGGGCGUAGACGGCGAUGCAAGUCUGGUGUGAAAGCCCGGGGCCCAACCCCGGGACUGCCUUGGAAACUGUGGGGCUGGAGUACAGGAGAGGUAAGCGGAAUUCCUAGUGUAGCGGUGAAAUGCGUAGAUAUUAGGAGGAACACCAGUGGCGAAGGCGGCUUACUGGACUGUAACUGACGUUGAGGCCCGAAGGCGUGGGGAGCAAACAGGAUUAGAUACCCCUGUAGUC
This 440-nucleotide ribosomal RNA is filed under the name uncultured bacterium. RNAcentral describes it as "partial 16S ribosomal RNA". It matches the Rfam family "Bacterial small subunit ribosomal RNA", at positions 338 to 795 of the family's 1533-position model. The record is from RNAcentral.